CUGAAAGCAUCUAAGUGCGAAGCCAGCCGCAAGAUGAGAACUCCAUUGAGGGUCGUCAGAGACGAUGACGUUGAUAGGAUGCAGGUGUAAAGACAGCGAUGUCAAAGCCGAGCAUUACUAAUUGCCCGAACACUUUCUUUAU
RNAcentral lists this ribosomal RNA (142 nucleotides) under Segatella copri. RNAcentral's name for it is "partial 23S ribosomal RNA". It matches the Rfam family "Bacterial large subunit ribosomal RNA", at positions 2771 to 2925 of the family's 2925-position model. Lineage: Bacteria; Pseudomonadati; Bacteroidota; Bacteroidia; Bacteroidales; Prevotellaceae. The record is from RNAcentral.